RNAcentral lists this long non-coding RNA (1506 nucleotides) under Macaca mulatta (Rhesus monkey). RNAcentral's name for it is "lncRNA (ENSMMUG00000057487.1)". The record is from RNAcentral. Lineage: Eukaryota; Metazoa; Chordata; Mammalia; Primates; Cercopithecidae.
CAUAUUGUGUUGCUUAACCAAAUGACCCCAGGAGCAGGCACACAGCUGUUUGCUGUCACUCUCUCCCUCUCUCUGCCAACCUCAUACCAGACUUAGGAUCAUGAUAAACUAUAGGAUCCUGUGCACACCACUCAUAUCCAAGGGAAGUAGAGGUGUCUUUGACACCAAGAGGUGCCAUGAUGUCAUCUCUCUACUGUCCUCCUUCAUAAGGAUGAAUUGGGCAGAAAAUGCAGUGUUUCUACCCCCCAAAGGUCCAGACGGGAAACAGAAGCAGAGCACUGGUUCUCUUCCACUCUCGCUUCACCCAACAUCAAGAGGCCUAAAAUGUUACUGAGUGCCAGAAUCUCAAACACAUGUUUUACAAAUAAAAUGACAUCUGUACAUAAACCAUCGAUCAUUAUAUUAAUCAUUACAUGAUUUGCCUUGUUUUGAAGGGUAUACGGUACAGCUUUGGUGAGCAAAUAGUCAUAAAAGAUUCGUAUUUGCUCUGCCCAUGCCACUCUCUUGAGUUGAUGCACAUGUCCUUAGAAAACUGCAGAGAAUUAGCCCAUUGUAUUUGAUGCUUUUUAUGUGACUGCCUGACAAGUUUUUUUUCCCUAAUGACAGAAGUGAUAAAUAAUCAGUGCAUAAAAUUUGAAAAAAUGCAGAUCAAUGCAAAAAGGAAUCACCACUAACACAAAUAAUUUUUGUUAACAUAUUAGUAAAUUUUCUUAGGUAUUGCAUCUAAAUUUCCCUGGGACUGUUGGAAUAGGUCAUAUUAAGGAAAAAGAGUUACUAAUAAGUCAGAAAGCCAGAUCUUCUGCAUAUAUGAUCACUGUUACUAUGGAAACCAACACUUUCCUGGAUGUGACAAGCAAGCAUGCUGAGGAAAUGUGAGCUGAUAGCAUCAUGGUAGGAAGCUGGGAGGAGGAGGCCUGUCCCUGUUGGAAAGCUGUGCCCAGAAUGAGGACAUCAACAGGAACAUGCGGUGCACAUUUGUGUCACCACCAGGCUAAAAGAAACUCCAAGGCCUGGACCUGACAAGAGACAGACAACCUCACACAAUACCCUACCCCUAGCAACCCAACCACAGGGGACUCUUCACCUUUGUAUCUCAGCACCCAGAGCAAGGCCUAGCAACAGAUAGGUGGGGAAGAUACUCCCCAAGUAUCUGUCGAAUGUAUGAGCAAAAUAGUCAUGGUGCUCAGGACCAAGAUGGUCUUUCUCCAGACCUUUUCUUUCACUCAUAAAUGAGCCAUAAUGAGCGCGUGCUUGUUAUUAUAAACACAAAAGAUGAUAUAACAAGCUGGUUUUGUUUUUCCUAAAAACAUAUCUCCUUGGCUCCAGGAAAGCCCCUAGAUCCAGGAACUCUGAAUACAGUGGAACUUUGUGCUGAGAUGCCAGUUACAGAAUCACUAGGCAUGGAUAGCCUUCCUACUGGAAAAGUAAUUUAAUCGUAGUGUGCUCUGGCUUCAGGCUAUUUGCUGUAAUCCGAAUAGAGAAAGCAUUUUAGAAGCUGUGUGACAG